RNAcentral lists this long non-coding RNA (776 nucleotides) under Elaeis guineensis (African oil palm). RNAcentral's name for it is "long non-coding RNA (EGUI_LNC002761)". Lineage: Eukaryota; Viridiplantae; Streptophyta; Magnoliopsida; Arecales; Arecaceae. The record is from RNAcentral.
AUUAGAAAAAUAAGAAAAAUAGAAGUAAUAUAUUAAAUAUUUUUAUUAUAUAAAGUAUAAUAAGAUAUUUUUAUUCUAAUUUAAAAUUAAAAUAUAAUAUUAUUAUAUCUUAUAUUAUAAUUAUCUUGUAAUAAUAUUAAAUUAGACAAAAAUCUUCAUUUUAUGUUUCAAAUUAAAAACAGCUCUCUACUUGAGUUUAAAUUAAAAGUAGCUCCCAAUUCCAAACAUAAAUUAAAAGCAACUCUCCAUUUCUAACUGAAACGAUCGUUAUAUCCUUGUACUCUCGUACGGUUAUACAACAAGAUAGUAUUGUUUUACAAUAACGCAGUACUGAUUUAUAAUAAAGCAGUACCAUCUUCUAAUAUCGCAGUAUUAUUUUAUAAUACGUAAUGCAAUACUGAUUUAUAAUAAGACAGUAUUGUUUUCUAAUAUCGCAAUGUUGUUUUAUAAUACGAUAGUACUAUUUUAUAAUAAAACAGUACUAUUUUAUAAUAGUGUUAUAUUAUAAUAAGACAAUGUUGUUUUAUAAUAAGGCAGUACUGUAUUAUAAUAAGGAAGUACUGUUUUGUAAUAUCUUUACAUCAUAAUAAGGUAGUAUUGUUUUACACUAAUGUAGUAUUACUUUAUAAUAAGGCAGUACUAUUUUUUAAUAUCACAGUGUUGUUUUAGUGUUAGUUUAUAACUGCAGGGGCAAUUUGGUCAUUUAUGUCAAUUGGGGAGCUGCGUUUAAGUAAAACUCAACUGGGGAGCUACUUUUAAGUUUAAACUCAAACGGA